GCGUUAACGUGAGACUCUUAUCGGGCGAUAAAAAAAAUAUCGCCGUUAAUCUAUUCUCAAAGUUGGGUUGAGAGCUAUGCAAGCUAUGAUGACUUUCACCUUGAUAUUUUAGCGCGGAUGUAUACCCAGCAAACACAGAACGUUGUGACGACGUCGCCACCCAGAUAGCAAGCACACUCGGGCCGAUUCUGGCUGAAAUGCGGCACUGUCGGUUCAGUCACGACGUCGGUGAGAAGAUAAUGGGCCAGAGCCGCGCCGACUCUACAAAACACUUCUGGCUGACAGACGCUUUUUCUCUCUGGGCCGAUCUCGGCUGAGAGCUGUUGUACGUGCGGCAGGUCCGCACUUGGUGUAGUUGUGUGUAUCUAUCUUCGGCCCGAGCUGGUUUUGUCUCCGGCGGCCGCUGCUAGAAUGAAGAUCAGCCGCUGAGAGAGAUUUGGCGGUUAAUCCUGAGGAGAUUUCGGCGGGCACAGUUCUCAAGAGGAAUACUUCAGCUGCAAAAAGAAAUUCUGAGCUGCUGCAUGAACAUUCAUCAAACAUAAGGCUGCAAUUUGGAAGAAAACCUUUCAAGCUAAUGCUGCUGAAAUGGAGGUCAAGGGGACUAUGAAGAGGUGGCUCCAGCUGAUCAAACACACUCUGUUACAGUAAUCAGCUGAUCCAGUCGGUAUCCAGACCAGACGGUGGACCUGCACCCAGGAACGACCACACCACAUCCCUGACUGUCAGCGGAGAUCAUGUCAGCUAGAUCACAGAUCCCUGUGAAGACCUCAUUGAUGGCCCCAGCACAGAUCCUCAGCAAAGACUACGAGAACCAGACAAGCCCUCUGUGCAGACCCUUUUUACCAGCUUCACCUGCUGGCGUGAUAUUACUUCAAGCAGAAGAAGUUGGAUGAAAUAUUCUGAAUGAUAUCAAUCCACAAUCUGACUUGUGAUGCAGCCUGGAAUAAUCACACCACGUUGAUUCGUUUGGCCAGAGGAGACUGUUUCCUGACUGAGCCGGGUCUUGUUUGGGUUCCUUGUCACUGUUGCCUUUUGUCUUGCUUGGUUGAAGACACCUAAUAUUCAGCAAUAUUAUUGACUUGACUGCACUGACACCAUUUGAUAAGAACUGAACUGAAUUAUGACACACAAUGUUUUAUAUAU
Long non-coding RNA from Onychostoma macrolepis, 1143 nucleotides. RefSeq lists it as uncharacterized. The record is from RefSeq and is a predicted model, not a curated record. NCBI's taxonomy places the organism in Eukaryota, Metazoa, Chordata, Actinopteri, Cypriniformes, Cyprinidae. The transcript has 4 exons.